GGUCACGUGGUGGGAACAUGAGUACUGUGGUGGUGUGCCCGUUGCCCCGUUCAUUUUGAACUACUUGGUUUUGGGCUUUCAGGCACGCUUUCUCGUGGGUGGGCAACUAUUUCUCUGAGCAAGUGAUGUCUAGCGGGUUCAGGAUUGUAUCCUUGCUGUGAUAUGCGAACCUCCUUCCCAGCCUGAGCAUCACCUGUGGGAUGAGGUAUUUCUCUGCUGCGACACAUGUCAGGUACUGUACACAGAGCACAAGUGGCUGCCAGACACCUGCCUAUCCACUGCAAUUGUAUUGUCGAAGUUCUGAACUGAUGGAAGCAGAUUGUCUAUCUACUUUACAUAGUACUGGAGCAAACUUUUACAGGAUGUCACACCUAUUGUAUCUAGCAAAGAAAUGGAACUGUCUGCCAUGUGCAAUGAGGAUACCAUACUGAUUUCGGGCAACUGAAGUGCUUUGUGGUUCCAAUAAAUGUGGAAUUAAUAUUCUUUGUAAACAAAGGAGAUGUGAAGAACACUUGCGUAGAAAAAUGUAAUUACUAUAAAUGUGGAAUUACAAAAAAUAAACUUAACUAGGAAGAC
Molecule: long non-coding RNA, 576 nt
Organism: Schistocerca serialis cubense
Lineage: Eukaryota; Metazoa; Arthropoda; Insecta; Orthoptera; Acrididae
Exons: 3
Source: RefSeq, a predicted model, not a curated record